This 1203-nucleotide long non-coding RNA is filed under the name Lepidothrix coronata (blue-crowned manakin). RNAcentral describes it as "lncRNA (ENSLCOG00000007775.1)". Lineage: Eukaryota; Metazoa; Chordata; Aves; Passeriformes; Pipridae. The record is from RNAcentral.
UGUUGUGGAAGCAGAGCAGGACCCGACACCUCCAAGGAGGAUUUGGAGCAGGAGCUGCCUCUGCUCGCAGGACCCUGUGCCCAAGGGAGUGCUGGAGCGUUUGCACCCUGGUUUGGGACAUUUUGGGGCAGAAUUUAGGGAUUUAGGGAGCCUUGCUUGGCAGGCACCCGGCCAAGGGCCCCUCCUCUCACCAGGAUGGUGGUGGGAGCAGCAGGAAGACGAGGGGACACGGGAGCAGGUGGAGAAGGCUCAGGGUGGGACAUCUCCCAGCUGUCAACCCCCCCCCAGGUGCCCCAUUCCCAGGAAAAACCCAGCUUGGAACCCCCAAAAGUUGGGAAGAAAAGCUGACUCAAAGCAACGGUGUGUUAAACCAACAGGAAUCGCUCCAAUCCAUCAUUUUUUGCUGGAUUUCACCCUGCUGGCACCAGAGGGGACGUCCCCCCCUCUGCCACACGCUGCUCCUGAUGCUUUUUUUUGGGGGGGGGAGCAGCUGGGAUUUGGAACCACAAAAAAAAAAUCCCUGGUGGGGUCUUGGGGUGAGCUGGGGCACCGUGGUGUGGCCAAAAGGGUGGAUUCUGCUUCCGUGUCUUCCUCGGGGCUCCUCCGGCUCCGCCGGUGCCAUCCCACGUCACUGCUCGGCCCUGGAAAUGUGGUUCCAAUAGGUUUUUCCCUAAUGCUUUCCAUUUCUCCAGCCCUCUCUGCUGUAAUAGGAGCUGGAGCUGUCCAGAAGAAUGCCUACAGUGCAGAAAGGGGGGGGAAAAAAAAAAAAGAUGGAAAAUUCCCUGCUCAAAGCUGGAGCAGGAUCUCAUCCGGCUCCUUCCUCCUCCUCCCACGUGUUAGUUCAUAUUAAUAUUCAUAUUAAUAAUAAUAAUAAUAACAACCCGUGAGCAACAUCUGUCAGGGAGGAUUUGGGGGGUGGCUUUUGCCUCUCUGGAGCUGCAGCUUUGCCGUUCCCAGCCCGGGAGAGGAGGGGUUGGGAAAAGGGGAGCUUUGGAAACACGAGGAGAUGUUUAAAAUCGUGUGACAGAGGCGAGGAUGAGUGGGGGGUUCUCCCAGCUCCAGGAUCCCGCUGGGGAGGAGUUGUUUCCCCAGUUUAUCCAGGGGAAUUGUGUUUUGGUGGUGUUUAAAGCCGUGGUUUUCUUCCCGUUGGGAAGAGGGAGUGGGGUUGGGAAGAGGGAAUGGGGUUGGGAAGAGGGAAUGGGG